This 74-nucleotide transfer RNA is filed under the name Saccharopolyspora montiporae. RNAcentral's name for it is "tRNA-Gly". It matches the Rfam family "tRNA". From Rfam's summary of the family: Transfer RNA (tRNA) molecules are approximately 80 nucleotides in length. Their secondary structure includes four short double-helical elements and three loops (D, anti-codon, and T loops). Further hydrogen bonds mediate the characteristic L-shaped molecular structure. tRNAs have two regions of fundamental functional importance: the anti-codon, which is responsible for specific mRNA codon recognition, and the 3' end, to which the tRNAs corresponding amino acid is attached (by aminoacyl-tRNA synthetases). tRNAs cope with the degeneracy of the genetic code in two manners: having more than one tRNA (with a specific anti-codon) for a particular amino acid; and 'wobble' base-pairing, i.e. permitting non-standard base-pairing at the 3rd anti-codon position. The record is from RNAcentral. Lineage: Bacteria; Bacillati; Actinomycetota; Actinomycetes; Pseudonocardiales; Pseudonocardiaceae.
GCGGAUGUAGUUCAAUGGCAGAACAUCAGCUUCCCAAGCUGAGAACGCGGGUUCGAUCCCCGUCAUCCGCUCCA